RNAcentral lists this long non-coding RNA (932 nucleotides) under Brassica rapa (field mustard). RNAcentral describes it as "long non-coding RNA (BRAP_LNC003707)". The record is from RNAcentral. Lineage: Eukaryota; Viridiplantae; Streptophyta; Magnoliopsida; Brassicales; Brassicaceae.
UCAUAUUUUCCUAUAACACCCUUUAAUAUUUUUGAAAAUAAAUUUAAUAAAUAAUUUUACAAACAAAAAAAUUUUGGAAAAAUAGUAACUUUUGAUAAACUACCUAUAUGAACUUAGUGAUAUUUUUUCCAGUUAUAAAAAAGUUAAAAUUAUAAAUUUCAUAUUAUGUUCUAAAUAAAGUAGAAAUGACAUUCUACGAAGUAGAAAACGAAAUCCACUUUUUCCAUUGAAUCUACAAUGUUUAGAAUACGUGAUCUACGUAAAUAGGAGUAUUCUAAAAAUAUUUAGAAUACACAUUCCGCGCUUAACCUAUCAUUCUAAAAUCUUUAGAAAUCAAAAUCUACACAUUAAUAUAAAUCUAAAACACGUAGAAACUGACUUCUACAGAUUUACUAUAAAUCUAAAACAUGUAGAAAUCAAAAUCUAAACAUUACUAUAAUUCUAAAAAACUGUAGAAACCGAUUUCUACAUAUUAGUUGUAUUCUACGGAUAAAAAAUCAGUUCCUAAAAAUAUGGAAACAAAAUAUUUGGGAAUAUUCACUUUUAUAUUUUGAAAAAAAAAAUCGAUUUUUAAAAAAAAAAUAAAAAAACAAAAAAGGAACAAAAAAAUAAAAAAAUAAACGAAAAAAAAUAAAAAAAUUACAAUUUUAAGGGCAUUACUGCCAUUUUGAAAAAAUUUAGUCUAAUAGGACAUAAAUUAGUAUAGAUUAGUAUAAAAGGACAUAGUUACCAUUUUUUUGCUCUAAAAAAACAAUUUUCCCUUUAUAAUAAUGCACUGCUGCUACAUGAUGCUUGCCGCAACCGACUCCUUUCACACUAUCACCGGAAACUACCAUUAACGAUCCUUUUUAAUCCACUAGUUAUCAUUGCAUCAUGACUAUAAACGAUUGAUUUUGUCAAAAUUUAGUCAGUAUAAUUUAAAUAGUGGCUAU